AGAAUCCCAAGCAGGCUCCAGGCUGCCAGCACAGAGCCUGAUGCGGCGCUUGAACUCAGGAACUGUGAGAUCAUGAUCUGAAUGGAAAUCAAGAGUCAGAUGCCUCAGGGCGCCCGGGUGGCUCAGUCCGUUGAGCGUCAGACUUUGGCCCAGGUCAUGAUCUCACAGUUUGUGAGUUCGAGCCCCGUGUCGGGCUCUGUGCUGACAGCCCAGAGCCUGGAGCCUGCUUCAGAUUCUGUGUCUCCCUCUCUCUCUGCCCCAUCCCCACUCAUGCUCUGUCUCUCUCUGUCUUAAAAAUAAAUAAAACAUUAAAAAAAAAUUUUUUUUGAGUCAGAUGCCUAACCAACUGAGGCACCUAGGUGCCCCAGAGCUCUCCUAUUUCUUGUAUAUAUAUUAUUUUUGGAAUUUCAGCCUACCAUUUAUCCUUACAAAAAUUUAAGCCAUUGACUCAGCCCACUGAGGCCAUUUGGAACCUCAUUUCCCUCGUUGGUUAACAAAUCAUCCCCCUGCUUUGUGCCAGCUGCCGUUUGUGUCUCUUUCAAGUUGUUGAUGAAAAUCUAGAUUUUAUUCUAACCAAGGGCAGAGUCCAGUGGUCUGUUGAUAAAGGCAGCCUCUGAGUUGACAUCAGUUCAUUAAAUCAACUUUCUUGGCCACUGUUUAACCACUAGUAAAUCUGCUUUGUUUUCUUUUUCACCCCAUUUAUUUCUGCAACUUAUCUUCUGAGAUGUUCUCGAUACCUUGGGCUAAUAACUAUCACAGAAUGUCUGGAAACCAGCUUGGAACUCAUCUUGAAAUCAGACCUGAUUUGUUGGUGAGCCUAACUCCUAGAUGUGACAGUUUUCUGCAUUCUUACAGGCACCAGUUUGAUAGCUCUCUCUCCCCCCCCCCAUUUUUUUUAAUGUUUAUUUAUUUUUGAGAGAGAGAGAGGGUGCAUGUGGGGGGGGGGGGCGAGGGGAGAGGCAGAGAGGGAGACAGAAGAUCAGAAGCAAGCGCUGUGCUGACAGCAGAGAGCCCGAUGUGGGGCUUGAACCCAGGAACUGUGAGAUCAUGACCUGAGCCAAAGUCAGAUAGUUAACUGACUGAGCCACUCAGGCGCCCGUUGAUAGCCCUGUCUUAAGUUUUGCUAUGGAUUUCUCUCUCUCAGUGAUCCUGUCCUUACCAGGAUCAGUAGCAUUUGAUGAAACUAGGGACAAAAUCUAUCUCUGUUCCUCUGCAACUUUUCCUCAUUUGUGUUUUCUUAGAAAGUAGAAGUGUGUUUCUGUGAUAAUAUCUGCAAAAUCUUUUUCAUAUCCAAGGCUGUAUAUAAUUUGUCUGUGAUGGGAGACCUGAUUUAUUUCUAAAUGGUGGUAUACUCUUAGAACUACAACCUAUCUUGGGUUUCAAGUUCACUACAAUUUUUAUUUUACUUUUUUUUAACUUGAAGAUUUUUUUUCUUUGGUAGAGAAGAUAGGAGUAAAAUAGAAAUAGAGCAGUUUGGGGGCACCUGGGUGGCUCAGUUGGUUAAGCGUCCGACUUCAGCUUAGGUCACGAUCUCACGGUCCGUGAGUUCGAGCCCCGCGUCGGGCUCUGGGCUGAUGGCUCAGAGCCUGGAGCCUGCUUCCCAUUCUGUGUCUCCCUCUCUCUCUGCCCCUCCCCCGUUCAUGCUCUGUCUCUCUCUGUCCCAAAAAUAAAUAAACGUUAAAAAAAAAAAAAAAAAAGAAAUAGAGCAGUUUGUACCCUAAUAGCGUGUUUUUAAAAAUGACAUGGAACUGUUAAGCUGCAUAUGUGAUUAACUUACAUAGAACUACGUGCAUGCACACGCACACACGCGCGCGCGCACACACACACACACACACACACACACACAAACGAGUCUACGUAUGAUUGGUAAAAUCUAAGUAAGCUUGUACAAAUGUCAAUUUCCUGGUUUCGACAAUGUGCUAUGGUUAUAUAAGAUGUUAACAUUGGGGAGGUAGGGUGAAGGAUACAUGAAACUUCUCCCUAUAUUUCUUUAAAUUUUUUUUAACGUUUAUUCAUUUUUGAGAGACAGAGAGAGCAUGAGUGGGGGAGGGGCAGAGAGAGACGGCGACACAGAAUCUGAAGCAGACUCCAGGUUCUGAGCCUGAGGCGGGGCUCAAACUCAAACCGGGAGAUCAUGACCUGAGCCGAAGUUACAUGCUUAACCGACUGAGCCACUUAGGUGCCCCAACUUCCCCCUGUAUUUCUUUACACCUUUCUGUGAAUCCAUAAUUAGUUCAAAAUGAAAAGAUUUUUAACUUUAUUUUACAUAACUAUUAAAUGCUUCCAUGUUUAAAAUGUAGAAAAUUCAGAAAGUAUUUUUACAUCUCAUUACACAUUUAUAAUUAUGACGAAAACACUGAUGUGUUUCCUUUCAAACUUUUUCUGUGAAUAUAUACCCUUGGGUAGAUGUAUGUAUAUAAAUUAUUUUCCUUCAAAUUGGAGUGAUAAGACACGUGCAGAUUAAUUUCAGCCUUUUUGUUACACAAGUAAUAUGUGAACACAUGUUCACUGUAAGACAUUCAAACCAUGGUGACAUACCAAAGCAAAAUGGUCAAGUCUCCCUUGAAUCUCCACACAUUCACUCUCCAUACAGAUGUCACACACAAUGUGAGCCAUUGGUUCACUUCCUUCUAGGCCUUUCUCCCUUAAGUAUACUCACAUAUGUACAUAUACACAUAGAUAGAUCACCAAGACCUGUAGAUCUUUCCAUGUAGGUACUCAUGGGCCUCUCAUUGUUUAUGGCAAUUGCCUCAGUGCAUGAAUGGACCAUAAUUUAUUUAACUACUCCCUUGUUGAUGAGCAUGGAGGUUGUUUUAUUCUGGCGGUGGUUGUUGUUGUUGUUACUUAUGUGGACAUCCGUGUACCCAUAUAUAUUUCUUUUCUGAAAACCUUUAUGGACACCCUGUCCUUGUCUGUGUAUCCACAGUGCCUCUUCCAUAACACUUGCACCUCCUCCCACAUGGAAGCACAGCCAUCUACAUGUCUCCCCACCCCGAAUUAUUAAUUAGUGUGAUUAUUACAUAUUAGUUAUUAGUUAUCUUAGCACCAUCACCCAACAUAGCGCCUGGCACAUCAGAACUGUGUGAAUGAAUGAGUCAACUAAUGAACAAACACAUGAACAAACAGACUCUUGAGUCAGAGAUCCCUUCACUGGGACAAAGGAACAUUGUUAUAAUGAAGUAACUUGUAUUUGCAUGAUGGCUUUUGCACUUACAUACUCCUUCUCAUCUCUUCUCAUUUAUAUUUCUAACCAGUUCUGUGACAUUAAUAGAGCAGAUUUUUUUUUUACACCCGUUUUGUAGACACAAAGGGCUUAAGGAAGUCCAGGGAGAAAGGUCCAACAGUGUGGGCUUCCCACCAUGGGGCUGGUGCUGGACACAUCAAGUUCCAUCAAAUCAGCUCUAUCUGUGGACCAGUCCCAAGCAGCUGAAUUUUGUAACAUUGUAAAAGAACUACAUAAAACAGUCUUCUUCUUCUUUACAUCUGUGUUUAAUUUUGAGGACACUUUAGUGAUAUCUGAAUCUAUCUCAAAAGUUCAUGUUGGGGAACGAGGUGCCAUCCUGACCAGAGAUGUGUGGGGAGUUUUAUGCUUCACAUGCUGAUGCAAAACCGCGUUUGCAGGGAGAGGCCGUUGUAUUUUGAAAUUAACUCAAGUAAACUUUCCCAAGCCCUUCUACAAAGAGAGUGCUACGUAGAUAAGUGGUUUAAAGAGUCUUGAUUGUUGAUACUUGCUUUGAGCAAGCACAUUCGUGAACAAGAAGGCCAUGUGCUUUUUCCCUCUUGAUUCCGCUUGUUUCCUGCCCCCCUCUAUGACGUAAGAGCUGUCUUUAAGAGACAAGAGCGAGGAAGUACUUUGUCUAAAGGGCAUUAUUCUGAGUCAACAAAGUCAAUCUCAAAGGUUACACGCUGUAUGAUUCCAUUUAUAUGACAUUCUCAAAAUGACAAACUUACAGUGAUGACUCUAGUCAGGGAUUAGCUUGGGUAGGAUGUUCCUAAAGCAUGAGGGAGCACUUUUUUUUUGGUGUUGAAGCAAUUCUGUAAUUGUAUACAAAUCUGUACCUGUAAUAAAAUUUCAUGGAACUCUAUACCAGAACCCCUCCCCC
Long non-coding RNA from Neofelis nebulosa (Clouded leopard), 4103 nucleotides. RefSeq lists it as uncharacterized. The record is from RefSeq and is a predicted model, not a curated record. The transcript has 2 exons. Lineage: Eukaryota; Metazoa; Chordata; Mammalia; Carnivora; Felidae.